UACGUAGGGUGCAAGCGUUGUCCGGAAUUAUUGGGCGUAAAGAGCUCGUAGGCGGUCUGUUGCGUCGGCUGUGAAAACCCGGGGCUCAACCCCGGGCCUGCAGCCGAUACGGGCAGACUAGAGUUCGGUAGGGGAGACUGGAAUUCCUGGUGUAGCGGUGAAAUGCGCAGAUAUCAGGAGGAACACCGAUGGCGAAGGCAGGUCUCUGGGCCACUACUGACGCUGAGAAGCGAAAGCAUGGGGAGCGAACAGG
Molecule: ribosomal RNA, 253 nt
Filed under: uncultured bacterium
Lineage: Bacteria
Description: partial 16S ribosomal RNA
Rfam family: Bacterial small subunit ribosomal RNA
Source: RNAcentral